GCAAGUCGAACGGCAGCGCGAGGAGCUUGCUCCUUGGCGGCGAGUGGCGGACGGGUGAGUAACGCGUAGGAACCUACCUGAUAGAGGGGGAUAACUCGGGGAAACUCGGGCUAAUACCGCAUAAUCUCUACGGAGCAAAGCGGGGGAUCUUCGGACCUCGUGCUAUCAGAUGGGCCUGCGUUGGAUUAGCUUGUUGGUGGGGUAAAGGCCUACCAAGGCGACGAUCCAUAGCUGGUCUGAGAGGACGAUC
RNAcentral lists this ribosomal RNA (250 nucleotides) under uncultured bacterium. RNAcentral's name for it is "partial 16S ribosomal RNA". It matches the Rfam family "Bacterial small subunit ribosomal RNA", at positions 57 to 305 of the family's 1533-position model. The record is from RNAcentral.